This is a non-coding RNA of Rattus norvegicus (Norway rat), 525 nucleotides long. Lineage: Eukaryota; Metazoa; Chordata; Mammalia; Rodentia; Muridae. The record is from RefSeq and is a predicted model, not a curated record.
CAAAGGAAUAGGCACCACAAUAGAUACGGAUACGAGGCACAUACAUGUGUGGAUACAAUGUGACCAGUCAGGCCUGUCUUUCCUUCUGCUGCCGGGUCUUCCCCUACUAUAGACUACUUCUCUCCAAAAAGAUUUCUGCUCUCUGAAAAGAAUAGAAACUAUAUGAAGAUGCCCAAAAGAAUUACUGAAAUAGGAUGGCUGGAUUUGAUCUGCAGAUACAAGCAAAUGUGCAAAUGCAAUGGGAGCACGCACAAGGAAUCAACUACUCUUUCAUGAAGUCUUCAACAGCUUUCAGUAGGGGACCAUGAGUUAGACAGCUGCGUACCAUCUACCAUGUGAAGGUACCAUCUUGGAAGGAGAUACUCCAACUCCAACCAGCCUGCCACUGACUGCAGCCUAGGCACUGUCUUGACUAUCGUUUCCCCAGAGACCAAGCCAUAUCCACUCAGCUAAGCUGUUUCAAAAAUAUUAUCACAGAAACAGUGUGAAAUAAUAAAGCACUUGUUGCAAUUUUUAGCUGUUAAA